UACGAAGGGGGCUAGCGUUGUUCGGAAUUACUGGGCGUAAAGCGCACGUAGGGGGCGACGUAAGUCGGGUGUGAAAGCCCCGGGCUCAACCUGGGAAUUGCAUUCGAGACUGCAUUGCUGGAGUACGGAAGAGGAGGGCGGAAUUCCCGGUGUAGCGGUGAAAUGCGUAGAUAUCGGGAGGAACAUCAGUGGCGAAGGCGGCCCUCUGGUCCAGUACUGACACUCAAGUGCGAAAGCGUGGGGAGCAAACAGG
RNAcentral lists this ribosomal RNA (253 nucleotides) under uncultured bacterium. Its description in RNAcentral is "partial 16S ribosomal RNA". It matches the Rfam family "Bacterial small subunit ribosomal RNA", at positions 524 to 776 of the family's 1533-position model. The record is from RNAcentral.